RNAcentral lists this ribosomal RNA (278 nucleotides) under Klebsiella pneumoniae. RNAcentral's name for it is "partial 16S ribosomal RNA". It matches the Rfam family "Bacterial small subunit ribosomal RNA", at positions 1 to 273 of the family's 1533-position model. Lineage: Bacteria; Pseudomonadati; Pseudomonadota; Gammaproteobacteria; Enterobacterales; Enterobacteriaceae. The record is from RNAcentral.
ACUUAAAUUGAAGAGUUUGAUCAUGGCUCAGAUUGAACGCUGGCGGCAGGCCUAACACAUGCAAGUCGAGCGGUAGCACAGAGAGCUUGCUCUCGGGUGACGAGCGGCGGACGGGUGAGUAAUGUCUGGGAAACUGCCUGAUGGAGGGGGAUAACUACUGGAAACGGUAGCUAAUACCGCAUAACGUCGCAAGACCAAAGUGGGGGACCUUCGGGCCUCAUGCCAUCAGAUGUGCCCAGAUGGGAUUAGCUAGUAGGUGGGGUAACGGCUCACCUAGG